RNAcentral lists this ribosomal RNA (506 nucleotides) under uncultured bacterium. RNAcentral describes it as "partial 16S ribosomal RNA". It matches the Rfam family "Bacterial small subunit ribosomal RNA", at positions 30 to 523 of the family's 1533-position model. The record is from RNAcentral.
AUUGAACGCUGGCGGCAGGCCCAACACAUGCAAGUCGAACGGUAACAGGAAACAGCUUGCUGUUUCGCUGACGAGUGGCGGACGGGUGAGUAAUGUCUGGGAAACUGCCUGAUGGAGGGGGAUAACUACUGGAAACGGUAGCUAAUACCGCAUAACGUCGCAAGACCAAAGAGGGGGACCUUCGGGCCUCUUGCCAUCGGAUGUGCCCAGAUGGGAUUAGCUAGUAGGUGGGGUAACGGCUCACCUAGGCGACGAUCCCUAGCUGGUCUGAGAGGAUGACCAGCCACACUGGAACUGGGACACGGUCCAGACUCCUACGGGAGGCAGCAGUGGGGAAUAUUGCACAAUGGGCGCAAGCCUGAUGCAGCCAUGUCGCGUGUAUGAAGAAGGCCUUCGGGUUGUAAAGUACUUUCAGCGGGGAGGAAGGGAGUAAAGUUAAUACCUUUGCUCAUUGACGUUACCCGCAGAAGAAGCACCGGCUAACUCCGUGCCAGCCGCCGCAGUAA